UAACAAGGAUUCCCCUAGUAACUGCGAGUGAAGCGGGAAAAGCUCAAAUUUAAAAUCUGGCGGUCUUAUGGCCGUCCGAGUUGUAAUCUGGAGAAGUGUUUUCCGCGUCGGACCGUGUACAAGUCUCCUGGAACGGAGCGUCAUAGAGGGUGAGAAUCCCGUCCAUGACACGGACCGCCGAUGCUUUGUGAUACACUCUCGAAGAGUCGAGUUGUUUGGGAAUGCAGCUCAAAAUGGGUGGUAAAUUCCAUCUAAAGCUAAAUAUUGGCGAGAGACCGAUAGCGAACAAGUACCGUGAGGGAAAGAUGAAAAGCACUUUGGAAAGAGAGUUAAACAGUACGUGAAAUUGUUGAAAGGGAAACGCUUGAAGUCAGUCGCGUCUUUCAGAACUCAGCCUUGCUUCGGCCUGGUGUACUUUCUGUUAGACGGGUCAACGUCAAUUUCGAUCGGCGGAGAAAGGUUGAGGGAAUGUAGCGUUGUUUCGGCGACAUGUUAUAGCCCUCUUCUGUAUACGUCGGCUGGGAUUGAGGACCGCAGCGCGCCUUUAAUGGCCAGGGGUUCGCCCCAUGUACCGCGCUUAGGAUGUUGGCAUAAUGGCUUUAAGCGACCCGUCUUGAAACACGGACCAAGGAGUCUAACAUGCUUGCGAGUAUUCGGGUGGAAAACCCUUGUGCGUAAUGAAAGUAAAAGUUGGGAGCCUCCGCGAGGGGGUGCACCGACGCCCGGCCCUGACGUUCUCUGACGGUGCUGCGGUAGAGCAAGUAUGUUGGGACCCGAAAGAUGGUGAACUAUGCCUGAAUAGGGCGAAGCCAGAGGAAACUCUGGUGGAGGCUCGUAGCGAUUCUGACGUGCAAAUCGAUCGUCAAAUUUGGG
Molecule: ribosomal RNA, 873 nt
Filed under: Porodaedalea niemelaei
Lineage: Eukaryota; Fungi; Basidiomycota; Agaricomycetes; Hymenochaetales; Hymenochaetaceae
Description: eukaryotic LSU rRNA
Rfam family: Eukaryotic large subunit ribosomal RNA
Source: RNAcentral